This is a non-coding RNA of Salvelinus sp. IW2-2015, 200 nucleotides long. The record is from RefSeq and is a predicted model, not a curated record. NCBI's taxonomy places the organism in Eukaryota, Metazoa, Chordata, Actinopteri, Salmoniformes, Salmonidae.
GGUGCAGUGAUAGGCACGGGACUGUCUGACUGGAGCACAGGGCACAGGAGCCAAGGUUUCCUAAUAUAAGCAUCCGGAUUUAGUUUCAGUGGCUACUACUCUACAAACUGUUCUCUCCUUUCUUCUCUCUACAGCCAAGACACGAGACACAAUGAAUGUUUACCAAUCAGAGCGGGAGAUCAUUCUCAGGGCUGUCUUAC